RNAcentral lists this unclassified non-coding RNA (358 nucleotides) under soil metagenome. RNAcentral describes it as "partial contains 5.8S ribosomal RNA, internal transcribed spacer 2, and large subunit ribosomal RNA". The stretch from base 1 to 120 matches the Rfam family "5.8S ribosomal RNA", at positions 35 to 154 of the family's 154-position model. The record is from RNAcentral.
GAUGAAGAACGCAGCGAAAUGCGAUAAGUAAUGUGAAUUGCAGAAUUCAGUGAAUCAUCGAAUCUUUGAACGCACAUUGCGCCCGUCAGUAUUCUGGCGGGCAUGCCUGUUCGAGCGUCAUUACGCCCCUCAAGUCCCCUGUGGACUUGGUGUUGGGGAUCGGCGAGGCUGGUUUUCCAGCACAGCCGUCCCUUAAAUUAAUUGGCGGUCUCGCCGUGGCCCUCCUCUGCGCAGUAGUAAAACACUCGCAACAGGAGCCCGGCGCGGUCCACUGCCGUAAAACCCCCCACCUUUUUAUAGUUGACCUCGAAUCAGGUAGGACUACCCGCUGAACUUAAGCAUAUCAAUAAGCGGAGGA